CAACCUGUGAGCUGCCCACCGCCUAUGUCAAAUAUAAAAUUCAAUCUUCACAGCUCGUCAUUAUAAUAAAUCAAAUCACAGAAACAUUCUGAUGCUGCAUGUGUGAGACAUAAGUGAGCACUUCUACGGCAUUUUGGUUGGAGAAUGCUUUCCAAAUAUUAUUAUGAGGAGCGUAGUGUACGCCUUGGAUUCCCUUUCCCCAUGGCCAUGGGUUAAAUGUGAACAAGUAAGGAAAGCUUCAUUUAGUAAGAACGUACAUUACACAGAGCAGUGGAUCAAUGAAUUCCCAUUUGGAUUCUAG
This 301-nucleotide unclassified non-coding RNA is filed under the name Hevea brasiliensis (rubber tree). Lineage: Eukaryota; Viridiplantae; Streptophyta; Magnoliopsida; Malpighiales; Euphorbiaceae. The record is from RNAcentral.